GACGAACGCUGGCGGCGUGCUUAACACAUGCAAGUCGAACGGAAAGGCUCCAGAUUGCUGGAGUACUCGAGUGGCGAACGGGUGAGUAACACGUGGGUAAUCCGCCCUGCACUCUGGGAUAAGCCUGGGAAACUGGGUCUAAUACUGGAUAUGACCUUUCUCCUUAUGGGGUUUGGUGGAAAGUUUUUCGGUGUAGGAUGGGCCCGCGGCCUAUCAGCUUGUUGGUGAGGUGAUGGCCUACCAAGGCGACGACGGGUAGCCGGCCUGAGAGGGUGAUCGGCCACAUUGGGACUGAGAUACGGCCCAGACUCGUACGGGAGGCAGCAGUGGGGAAUAUUGCACAAUGGGCGGAAGCCUGAUGCAGCGACGCCGCGUGAGGGAUGACGGCCUUCGGGUUGUAAACCUCUUUCAGCAGAGACGAAGCGUAAGUGACGGUACCUGCAGAAGGAGCACCGGCUAACUAUGUG
RNAcentral lists this ribosomal RNA (467 nucleotides) under uncultured bacterium. RNAcentral's name for it is "partial 16S ribosomal RNA". It matches the Rfam family "Bacterial small subunit ribosomal RNA", at positions 28 to 507 of the family's 1533-position model. The record is from RNAcentral.